Molecule: ribosomal RNA, 408 nt
Filed under: uncultured bacterium
Lineage: Bacteria
Description: partial 16S ribosomal RNA
Rfam family: Bacterial small subunit ribosomal RNA
Source: RNAcentral
GACGAACGCUGGCGGCGUGCUUAACACAUGCAAGUCGAACGAAGUGGCGAACGGGUGAGUAACGAGUAAUCAACCUGCCCUUCAGAGGGGGACAACAGUUGGAAACGACUGCUAAUACCGCAUACUGAAGGAGGGGAUUGCGUCUGAUUAGCUAGUUGGAGGGGUAACGGCCCACCAAGGCGAUGAUCAGUAGCCGUGCUGAGAGAAUGAACGGCCACAUUGGGACUGGGACACGGCCCAGACUCCUACGGGAGGAAGCAGGGGGGAAUCUGCCGCAAUGGACGAAAGUCUGCCGGAGCAACGCCGCGUGAGUGAUGACGGCUUUCGGUUUGUAAAGCUCUUUUAACCGGGACGCGGUACCGGAAUAGAAAGCCACGGCUAACUCCGUGCCAGCCGCCGCGGUAAUAC